GAUCCUGGCUCGGGACGAACGCUGGCGGCGCGCCUAACACAUGCAAGUCGAACGAGCGAGAGAGAGCUUGCUUUCUCGGGCGAGUGGCGAACGGGUGAGUAACGCGUGAGGAACCUGCCUCAAAGAGGGGGACAACAGUUGGAAACGACUGCUAAUACCGCAUAAGCCCACGGCUCGGCAUCGAGCAGAGGGAAAAGGAGCAAUCCGCUUUGAGAUGGCCUCGCGUCCGAUUAG
This 234-nucleotide ribosomal RNA is filed under the name uncultured bacterium. RNAcentral's name for it is "partial 16S ribosomal RNA". It matches the Rfam family "Bacterial small subunit ribosomal RNA", at positions 15 to 244 of the family's 1533-position model. The record is from RNAcentral.